Molecule: unclassified non-coding RNA, 461 nt
Filed under: Lophanthus chinensis
Lineage: Eukaryota; Viridiplantae; Streptophyta; Magnoliopsida; Lamiales; Lamiaceae
Description: partial external transcribed spacer
Source: RNAcentral
GACUACUGGCAGGAUCAACCAGGUAGCAUUCCUCACCGAAGUCGGCACGGCCCCGCCCGAGCCGAAGCUCGAGGCGGGAGACCGAUUCGACCGUCGUCCGCAAGAACGCUUGUUUGUGGUGCUGCGAGGCCGAGGGCCCCGUACCCACAUGAUGUUCCGCACCCGAGAGACCGAGCAUUCCGUCGUGGUUCGUCGACCCGAAAGCCGUUUCACGGGCAAACGGGGCGCGAGACACGACGGGCGCUGUUUGGCUCACCCCGCGCCGCCCGCCCGCUAGGAGCAGCAGCACGAGGCGAGAAAGGGACGAUUUAGCCGACAGAAUGCCUUCGCGAUAGGUAUUAAACACAGGAAACCCGACGUCGGACGACACACGGUCGUGCCAACAACUGAAGAGGCGCGGACGAAAUGUUGUCGCUGCCCGAGCAGGGAUCCAACAUGCCGUCGCGCGCCAAUCACCACUC